GGAGGAUCCAAGCGUUAUCCGGAUUUAUUGGGUUUAAAGGGUGCGUAGGCGGGCUAUUAAGUCAGUGGUGAAAGCCCCAAGCUUAACUUGGGAACUGCCAUUGAUACUGAUGGUCUUGAGUACACUUGAGGUGGGCGGAAUGUGUCAUGUAGCGGUGAAAUGCUUAGAUAUGACACAGAACACCGAUUGCGUAGGCAGCUCACUAAAUUGUAACUGACGCUGAGGCACGAAAGCGUGGGGAUCAAACAGGAUUAGAUACCCUGGUAGUCCACGCCCUAAACGAUGAUUACUCGAUGUGUGCAAUACACCGUACGCGUCUGAGCGAAAGCAUUAAGUAAUCCACCUGGGGAGUACGACCGCAAGGUUG
RNAcentral lists this ribosomal RNA (367 nucleotides) under uncultured bacterium. Its description in RNAcentral is "bacterial SSU rRNA". It matches the Rfam family "Bacterial small subunit ribosomal RNA", at positions 527 to 896 of the family's 1533-position model. The record is from RNAcentral.